Molecule: ribosomal RNA, 729 nt
Filed under: Candidatus Tremblayella phenacoccinincola
Lineage: Bacteria; Pseudomonadati; Pseudomonadota; Betaproteobacteria
Description: bacterial SSU rRNA
Rfam family: Bacterial small subunit ribosomal RNA
Source: RNAcentral
GGGAUAGAAUUCCAGGAGUAGCGGUGAAAUGCGUAGAUAUCUGGAGGAAUACCAAAGGCGAAGGCAGUCCCCUGGUCCGAUACUGACACUGAGGUACGAAAGCGUGGGGAGCAAACAGGAUUAGAUACCCUGGUAGUCCACGCCCUAAACGAUGUCGAUUAGCCAUUGGAAGGACCCCUUUUCCUUUCAGUGACGUAGCUAACGCGUUAAAUCGACCGCCUGGGAAGUACGACCGCAAGGUUAAAACUCAAAGGAAUUGACGGGGACCUGAACAAGCGGUGGAUGAUGUGGAUUAAUUCGAUGCUACGCGAAGAACCUUACCUACCUUUGACAUGGCCAAAGUUCUACCGAGAGGCGGAAGUACUCGUAAGAGGAUUGGCGCACAGGUGCUGCAUGGUUGUCGUCAGUUCGUGUCGUGAGAUGUUGGGUUCAGUCCCGCAACGAACGCAACCCUUAUCUUUAAUUGCUCCUAUUUUAACAGGCACUUUAAAGAAACUGCCAAUGAUAAGUUGGAGGAAGGUGGGGAUCACGUCAAGUCCGCAUGGCCUUUAUAGGUAGGGCUUCACACGUCAUACAAUGGUUAGAACAAAGAGCUGCAAAUUCGUAAGAAGGAGCCAAUCUCACAAACCUAACCUCAGUUCGAAUUGCGGUCUGCAACUCGAGCGCAUGAAGCCGGAAUCGCUAGUAAUCGUGGAUCAGAAUGCCACGGUGAAUACGUUCUUAGGUCUU